Molecule: long non-coding RNA, 1160 nt
Organism: Sphaeramia orbicularis (orbiculate cardinalfish)
Lineage: Eukaryota; Metazoa; Chordata; Actinopteri; Kurtiformes; Apogonidae
Exons: 2
Source: RefSeq, a predicted model, not a curated record
AAAAAUAAGUUCUUAUAUCUCGCUGAAAAGUUACUCUUUAGGUGAUUAUGUCUUAUUUUAUGUGUGAUGAGAUAUUUUGACUAGAAAUGAGAAAAAUACACGUGGUAAGAUUUAGAUUCUUGCAGUGUGUGAUUUCACUGUCUUGACUGAAACCACAAAUGGUUCUUUUUACCACCCAAAAGGAUUGGUUUGCAAAACACAUAGAAAGGUGACUCCAUUACUAUACAGCUUUAUCCAGCUGACAGAAAAAAACUGCACCUUAUCAAAAUUAGUGAAAGGAAAAGCAGCAAAAUUACACAAUUUAAAAACUAUAACUCUUAAAUUUUGACAUUUUUGCAUGAAAACAGUACUGAACAGCAUUACACAAUAUUUCAGUAGCCCGCUGUAAAUGCUGAUGUUGUUACCUUUGAAAAAAAGUAAAUAUAACUGUAGUAAAAUGAAAACUAUUUUCACCCAAAAAAAUUGAUCAUCAAAAAUUCCUGCGAAGUUUUAGCCGUUAAAAACAAAUCAGAGCAGACGUCCCUCCACUAUCAUUAGCAUCAACUUUACUAAAUUCACCUCAAUCUGUGGUUUAUCUUGUAAAACAUCAUUUUGCAUAAGCUGAAAAAUAUUUUCUGUCAAGGCAAUUUACACUUAUUCAUUUUUCUCCACAAGCAAUAUAUAUUUAUAUACACAUACAGACUCCUGCCUAUUGAAGUGCAUUCACAUUAACAUUCAUUCAGUUGCCUUUCAUUAAUAUGCUGUUUAUAAUUGGAUCUAAUAUUUGGUGUUUUGUUUAGUAAUAUAUAUUUUUGCGGUAUAUAAUAUAUGUGAGCCAUAUUUUGAUGUUUUAUUUGCAGCAACUGAAUACUGCAGUCAGAUGAGACUUAAAGUGUGUGUGUUCUCUGAGAACUGAGACUAAAGUGGUUUUCACAAUAAAACCACAGAUUCUGUCAUGAUUGAUGUACACUCCUAUCUUUGCCUGACAUAUGCUACUGUGUUUUAAAUUCAUCAUGUUUUGAAAUAUUGAUAUAAAAAUCAGCUUGUUGUGUCUAAAACUGACUGGUAUUUUAUUUUUGGAGCCCUGACUCACUGGUUCUAUUAAUGGCCUUGGCUUUGUACUGCAAACUGAAUGGGAUGUGUGGAUUGGAUAAUAAAGGUGGUCAUUUCUUAUUCAGAAA